This 1155-nucleotide ribosomal RNA is filed under the name Triticum aestivum (bread wheat). Its description in RNAcentral is "partial small subunit ribosomal RNA". Lineage: Eukaryota; Viridiplantae; Streptophyta; Magnoliopsida; Poales; Poaceae. The record is from RNAcentral.
AUGAUCCGUCUCCGCAGCUGCAUCCUCACCCAUCUCCUCCAUUCGCCCCCCGCCUCUCCCAUCUCUCUCCGCCGUCUCCUCUCAACCACAGAGCCGGUGCCCCCCGUUCCGGCAAAUCCGGGCUUCGCCGUCGAGGACUACCUCGUCGCCACCUGCGGCCUCACCCGACCCCAGGCCCUCAAGGCUUCCCUUAAACUCUCCGGCCUCAAGUCACCCUCCAAGCCCGACUCCGUCCUCGCCCUCCUCGCCGGCCUCGGCCUCUCGAGCGCCGACGUCGCCGCCCUCGUCGCCGCUGACCCGCGGUUGCUCUGCGCCAAAGUGGACACACUAACCUCCAAUGUCGCGGGGCUCGCCGGCAUGGGCAUGUCGCGUUCUCAGAUCGCUCAGCUCGUUAUGCUCGGCUGCACUAUCUUCCGCUGCAAACCCGUCGUCUCCAGGCUGCACUACUACCUGCCCCUCUUCAGAUCCCCGGAGAACCUCCUUCGCGUUCUCAAGCAGAACUCCUACCUCCUGUCAUCCAACAUCGACAAGGUGGUAGAGCCCAACGUCGUAUUCCUGCGGGAGUGCGGGCUAGGUGCUUGUGAUAUUGCCAAGCUGUGCACCUCUCUUCCGAGGCUGCUUAGCACCAAACCAGAGAAGGUCCGGGCGAUGGCGGCAUGUACCGAAAGUCUGGGUGUGCGCCGCGGCUCCGGGAUGUUCAGAAAAGCGAUGCAGGCUGUCGCGUUCCGCGGCGAGGAGAAGAUCGCCGCCGAAGUGGCGUACUUGAAGAAGACGUUCAGGUGGUCCGAUGCUGAGGUGGGCAUUGCUGUCUGUAGGUCUCCAAUGGUGCUGUCGAGGUCUGAGGACACGCUCCUGCGUAUGUCCGAGUUCCUUAUCUCUGAGGUGGGGCUGGAACCGGCGUACAUUGCUCCUCGGUCAGUAAUGCUCUGUCUUAGCCUCGAGGGUCGACUGAGGCCUCGGUACUAUGUUACGAAGUUCCUUAAGGAAAAUGGAUUGCUAAAUCUCGGAUGGAGUUACUUUUCAAUUGUCAAGGCGACCGAGAAGGUGUUCGUGGAGAAGUUCAUAUGCCCUCACACGGAAGCUGCACCAUACCUCGCUGAAGACUAUGAUGCUGCUUGCAGAGGGGAAGUGCCGACUAAUUUCAGAUUCGCAUGA